GGAUUAGAUACCCUGGUAGUCCAUGCCGUAAACGAUGAUUACUCGAUGUUGGCGAUACAUUGUCAGCGUCCAAGCGAAAGCGUUAAGUAAUCCACCUGGGGAGUACGGUCGCAAGAUUAAAACUCAAAGGAAUUGACGGGGGCUCACACAAGCGGUGGAGCAUGUUGCUUAAUUCGAGGCAACGCGAAGAACCUUACCUGGGCUUGACAUGUA
This 213-nucleotide ribosomal RNA is filed under the name Aristerostoma sp. ATCC 50986. RNAcentral's name for it is "partial Bacterial small subunit ribosomal RNA". It matches the Rfam family "Bacterial small subunit ribosomal RNA", at positions 775 to 990 of the family's 1533-position model. The record is from RNAcentral. Lineage: Eukaryota; Ciliophora; Colpodea; Cyrtolophosidida; Cyrtolophosididae.